GCCAGGCAUGGUGGCACAUGCCUGUAAUCCCAGCAGCUCGGGAGGCUGAAGCAGGGGGAUCACAAGUUCAAAGCCAGCCUCAGCAAAAGCAAGGUGCUAAGCAACUCAGUGAGACCCUGUCUCUA
Molecule: small RNA, 125 nt
Filed under: Marmota monax (woodchuck)
Lineage: Eukaryota; Metazoa; Chordata; Mammalia; Rodentia; Sciuridae
Source: RNAcentral